Molecule: long non-coding RNA, 295 nt
Filed under: Physcomitrium patens
Lineage: Eukaryota; Viridiplantae; Streptophyta; Bryopsida; Funariales; Funariaceae
Description: long non-coding RNA (PPAT_LNC010125)
Source: RNAcentral
GUUCGAUGGCUAUUUUGCAGUAGUUUAAUGGCAGGCAUGUGGCGUAACAGGGAGCAAGGAGCAAACUGGGCUGGAGUUGGGUUGGAUCAAGUACUCUAAGCAAGCAGAGCAGAGAGUGGAACAAGUGUUCUAAGUAAGCAGCUAAUGUGUGAAGGGCCAGCAAGAAGAAGAAGAUCAUGAGGCAGACACUGAGUAAGGAUAGCAACAGGUUUGAAGAGUCAAAGACUAGAGCAAAAUAAUUGUGAUAGUGUGUACAAGAGUCGUGUUGAUAAUGUGUUGAGAAUGUUUAGAAAGA